RNAcentral lists this ribosomal RNA (456 nucleotides) under uncultured Scutellospora. RNAcentral describes it as "SSU rRNA". It matches the Rfam family "Eukaryotic small subunit ribosomal RNA", at positions 569 to 1030 of the family's 1831-position model. The record is from RNAcentral. Lineage: Eukaryota; Fungi; Glomeromycota; Glomeromycetes; Diversisporales; Gigasporaceae.
UGCAGCCGCGGUAAUUCCAGCUCCAAUAGCGUAUAUUAAAGUUGUUGCAGUUAAAAAGCUCGUAGUUGAAUUUCGGGGUUCUACCGUCGGUCGGGCUAACAAGUCUGUACUGGUGUGUAGAAUUUCUACCUUCUGGGGAACUAUCAUGUUAUUAAUUUAGCGUGGUGGGAAACCAGGACCUUUACCUUGAAAAAAUUAGAGUGUUCAAAGCAGGCUUACGUCUGAAUACAUUAGCAUGGAAUAAUAGAAUAGGACGGUGGUCCUGUUUUGUUGGUUUCUGAAUCACCGUAAUGAUUAAUAGGGAUAGUUGGGGGCAUUAGUAUUCAAUUGUCAGAGGUGAAAUUCUUGGAUUUAUUGAAGACUAACUUCUGCGAAAGCAUUUGCCAAGGAUGUUUUCAUUAAUCAAGAACGAAAGUUAGGGGAUCGAAGACGAUCAGAUACCGUCGUAGUCUUAAC